Molecule: long non-coding RNA, 1261 nt
Organism: Cyprinus carpio (common carp)
Lineage: Eukaryota; Metazoa; Chordata; Actinopteri; Cypriniformes; Cyprinidae
Source: Ensembl
UAGUAUCAUGAUUUGCUCAGUCUUACAGUGAAAUCAAGGUUUUACCAGUAGAGUAAAACAGCUGCUGCUUCAUCUGUGUAUUUGCUGUGCUGAUAAACAAAGUGUGUCUGCAGGUCACAGUAGAGGGUUUUAUUGGUGGUUCUGUUGUUCUGCCGUGUUCUGCUGAACAUGAUCAUAAACUUCAAGACAUUGAUGUGAGCUGGAGACACAAUGGCAGCAAAAUUGUAUUUGAUAUAAUUCCACACAGUAAUGUGAUCUACAUAUUCAUAAAUCACUAUUGCAAUUAUAGUACACAGCUGUUUUUGCAGGAAACGUCAUUCUUCAAUGCAUGCCAUAUCUGAAAAGGAGAGAAGGUCUCAUAGUAGCUCGAAGGCUUAAAAAAUAACCUUAAACUGAUAUGAAUUUUCAAGCACAAAGGGAAAGCAACUAUAGUGAAGCAUUAAUCAUUGGCUUGGCUUUUCAGAAAUAUGUUUAGUUUGCAUAGCAUCACAUUUGCUGUGCAUUUAGGUUCUAAAAACAAUGUUUAUGUUGGAAACAUUGCCUAAAUAGCCUUAUAACAACAGCACCAUAUAACCUACUUACCUGGUCGUAUAACAUUUUUGUGAAUAUCCAUCUUUAUUUCAUUAUUUAUUUUAGUUUUAGGAGUGUUAGAUGUUUUGAUGUUGUUAGCAACAUUCACACUGAUAAGACAAUCGCCUGUAACCAUGGGCUCAGUUUGUUGGCCCAUUUCUGCCUUAUAAGAAAAAAGUUACAAUGUUAAAAAAUUAAAGCUACAAUGUUGCUUUAAUAGCUAUUUUUUAUAUUUUCCUUUUGUACCAUUUGUCAUUUCUUAUUCAUUUUAUGUCUCAAGCCCUUUUAGUUACUAGUGUGUAUGAAGUGUGUCCUAUUUAAAUAACCUUGCCUUGCCUCUUGGCUUUGUAAGUUAAAAAGUUACUUUUUUAGCUGAAUGUUUACAGCUUUUUGAUGUCUUGUACUGUUAUAUCCUUGCCUUAUGCACUGUGUUUUUAUUGUGUAACAGAAUGAGAUGUUGAAACAGGUACAUUUUUUGCCUGAAGUUAUAAGACUGAUAAGCCUGUCAAUUAUAUUAGUAAACAUUUAUAUUGAACGUUUUAUUUGUAAGAACUGUUAAGUAUAUUUUAAAUGUACUACAAUGUUCUCAGGUAUAUACAUUGAAAAUGAGGACCAUUGCGUUUCACAGUAUGUAGACAAGCUCUUUCUGUUCAAGACCCAAUAAAUCAUGUAAAUAAAAUAGAAUCUGGCA